UAUGAUGAUGAUACAUGAACUGGGCUCUGAUCAGUUUGUUGCUGUGCUUAUUAAUGGAAAUGCAGCCUAAAAAGCUUUAUCUGAAUU
Molecule: small nucleolar RNA, 87 nt
Organism: Morus notabilis
Lineage: Eukaryota; Viridiplantae; Streptophyta; Magnoliopsida; Rosales; Moraceae
Source: RefSeq, a predicted model, not a curated record